RNAcentral lists this ribosomal RNA (571 nucleotides) under uncultured bacterium. RNAcentral describes it as "partial 16S ribosomal RNA". It matches the Rfam family "Bacterial small subunit ribosomal RNA", at positions 355 to 920 of the family's 1533-position model. The record is from RNAcentral.
UGGGGAAUUUUGGCAAUGGGCGAAGCCUGAUCCAGCAAUGCCGCGUGUGUGAAGAAGGCCUUCGGGUUGUAAAGCACUUUUGUCCGGAAAGAAAUCCUUGGCUCUAAUACAGUCGGGGGAUGACGGUACCGGAAGAAUAAGCACCGGCUAACUACGUGCCAGCAGCCGCGGUAAUACGUAGGGUGCAAGCGUUAAUCGGAAUUACUGGGCGUAAAGCGUGCGCAGGCGGUUUGCUAAGACCGAUGUGAAAUCCCCGGGCUCAACCUGGGAACUGCAUUGGUGACUGGCAGGCUAGAGUAUGGCAGGAGGGGGGUAGAAUUCCACGUGUAGCAGUGAAAUGCGUAGAGAUGUGGAGGAAUACCGAUGGCGAAGGCAGCCCCCUGGGCCAAUACUGACGCUCAUGCACGAAAGCGUGGGGAGCAAACAGGAUUAGAUACCCUGGUAGUCCACGCCCUAAACGAUGUCAACUAGUUGUUGGGGAUUCAUUUCCUUAGUAACGUAGCUAACGCGUGAAGUUGACCGCCCGGGGAGUACGGUCGCAAGAUUAAAACUCAAAGGAAUUGACGGGGUC